RNAcentral lists this ribosomal RNA (478 nucleotides) under uncultured bacterium. RNAcentral's name for it is "partial 16S ribosomal RNA". It matches the Rfam family "Bacterial small subunit ribosomal RNA", at positions 28 to 507 of the family's 1533-position model. The record is from RNAcentral.
GAUGAACGCUGGCGGCGUGCCUAACACAUGCAAGUCGAACGGAGUCCAGCCUUAGAGACCUUCGGGUCAAAGAGGGGAAGACUGAGUGGCGGACGGGUGAGUAACACGUGGGCAACCUGGCUCAUAGAGGGGGAUAACAGAGAGAAAUUUCUGCUAAUACCGCAUAAGCACACACUGCCGCAUGGCAGAGUGUGAAAAGAGAAUCGCUAUGAGAUGGACCCGCGUCUGAUUAGCCAGUUGGCAGGGUAAGAGCCUACCAAAGCGACGAUCAGUAGCCGAUUGGCGAGGAUGAACGGCCACAUUGGGACUGAGACACGGCCCAAACUCCUACGGGAGGCAGCAGUGGGGGAUAUUGCACAAUGGGGGGAACCCUGAUGCAGCGACGCCGCGUGAGUGAAGAAGUAUUUCGGUAUGUAAAGCUCUAUCAGCAGGGAAGAUAAUGACAGUACCUGAAUAAGAAGCCCCGGCUAACUACGUG